GCGCGGGUGGCGGAAUUGGUAUACGCGCACGUUUGAGGGGCGUGUGGGGUAACCCGUGUGGGUUCAAGUCCCACCCCGCGCACUA
RNAcentral lists this transfer RNA (85 nucleotides) under Omnitrophica WOR_2 bacterium RIFCSPHIGHO2_01_FULL_48_9. Its description in RNAcentral is "tRNA-Leu". It matches the Rfam family "tRNA". Rfam says of the family: Transfer RNA (tRNA) molecules are approximately 80 nucleotides in length. RNAcentral also lists the same sequence under 1 other name. Lineage: Bacteria; Pseudomonadati; Candidatus Omnitrophota. The record is from RNAcentral.